Molecule: long non-coding RNA, 250 nt
Filed under: Physcomitrium patens
Lineage: Eukaryota; Viridiplantae; Streptophyta; Bryopsida; Funariales; Funariaceae
Description: long non-coding RNA (PPAT_LNC001135)
Source: RNAcentral
ACACCCUUUUAAUUCUUCAUCACAGACAUAACUCGAUUUUAUAAAACAGUCAAGAGUAAUCACAUCUACUUCAUUAAAAUCCUGAUUCACCAGUACAACACUGACUUCAGCAACGAUUGCCUCAGUCUUCCCAAAACCCUAUGAAGAAAAAAAAACCCCCAAUUCUCUAUCUUUUUUCCCCACCCCGAAGCAUGAAGCUCGCUCUCUGACCCUUCAACAAAAAACCCUCCAAAAUCUUAUUCUCUCCCCC